RNAcentral lists this long non-coding RNA (4742 nucleotides) under Salmo salar (Atlantic salmon). Its description in RNAcentral is "lncRNA (ENSSSAG00000107715.1)". The stretch from base 969 to 1022 matches the Rfam family "UnaL2 LINE 3' element". The record is from RNAcentral. Lineage: Eukaryota; Metazoa; Chordata; Actinopteri; Salmoniformes; Salmonidae.
CUCUCCCUUCCUCCAUCCCUCCUCCCUCCUCUUUCUUCCCUUCCUCUAUCCCUCCCCUUUCCUCCCACGGGUGGUUGUUGUCCUUGAUCUUUUUUGGCCUUCCUGUGACAUCGGGUGGUGUAGGUGUCCUGGAGGGCAGGUAGUUUGCCCCCGGUAAUGUGUUGUGUAGACCGCACCACCCUCUGGAGAGCCCUGCGGUUGUGGGCGGUGCAGUUGCCGUACCAGGCGGUGAUACAGCCCGACAGGAUGCUCUCAAUUGUGCAUCUGUAGAAGUAUGUGAGGGUUUUAGGUGCCAAGUCAAAUUUAUUCAGCCUCCUAAGGUUGAAGAGGCGCUGUUACUUUACUGUGCCUGCCAUGGGGAAGUGUCUGAAAUGUAUUGGAUCUGGAGAUAAUAUUGAGGCACUGUGUUUGUAUUUUAGGCUGACAAGGAGAACUGGAUUAAAAUAGUAAUAAUAUAACAUUAUUAUUAGGUUGGCUAGGGGGGUUAGGGGUCAUUUAAGGUUGGUUAGGGGUUAGGGGUCAUUUAAGGGGUCUCUCACGUCACCCCGCUCCUCCGCUCUCUCCACUGGCUUCCAGUCGAAGCUCGCAUCCGCUACAAGACCAUGGUGCUUGCCUACGGAGCUGUGAGGCGAACGGCACCUCCGUACCUUCAGGCUCUGAUCAGGCCCUACACCCAAACAAGGGCACUCCGUUCAUCCACCUCUGGCCUGCUCGCCUCCCUACCUCUGAGGAAGCACAGUUCCCGCUCAGCCCAGUCAAAACUGUUCGCUGCUCUGGCACCCCAAUGGUGGAACAAGCUCCCUCACGACACCAGGACAGCGGAGUCAAUCACCACCUUCCGGAGUCACCUGAAACCCCACCUCUUCAAGGAAUACCUGGGAUAGGAUAAAGUAAUCCUUCUAACCCCCCCCUUAAAAGAUUUAGAUGCACUAUUGUAAAGUGGUUGUUCCACUGGAUAUUAUAAGGUGAAUGCACCAAUUUCUAAGUCGCUCUGGAUAAGAGCGUCUGCUAAAUGACUUAAAUGUAAAUGUUAAGGCUGGUUAGGGGGUUAGGGGUCAUUUAAGGCUGGUUAGGGGGUUAGGGGUCAUUUAAGGUUGGUUAGGGGUCAUUUAAGGUUGGUUAGGGGUCAUUUAAGGUUGGUUAGGGGGUUAGGGGUAAUUUAAGGUUGGUUGGGGGUAAUUUAAGGUUGGUUAGGGGGUUAGGGGUCAUUUAAGGUUGGUUAGGGGUCAUUUAAGGUUGGUUAGGGGUCAUUUAAGGUUGGUUAGGGGGUUAGGGGUCAUUUAAGGUUGGUUGGGGGUAAUUUAAGGUUGGUUAGGGGGUUAGGGGUCAUUUAAGGCUGGUUAGGGGGUUAGGGGUAAUUUAAGGUUGGUUGGGGGUAAUUUAAGGUUGGUUAGGGGUUAGGGGUAAUUUAAGGCUGGUUAGGGGGUUAGGGGUCAUUUAAGGUUGGUUAGGGGUCAUUUAAGGCUGGUUAGGGGUCAUUUAAGGCUGGUUAGGGGGUUAGGGGUCAUUUAAGGCUGGUUAGGGGUCAUUUAAGGCUGGUUAGGGGGUUAGGGAUCAUUUAAGGUUGGUUAGGGGUCAUUUAAGGCUGGUUAGGGGUCAUUUAAGGCUGGUUAGGGGGUUAGUGUAACUUACUUAGGGUUCGGUUACUCAGCUAGAAUUAGGGCUGUAUUCAAUCUGGAUGGCUGAAACAUUACAGGCCGUGUGAUAGAAAUGUAAAGGUCAUUUCCCAUUGGAGAGCUGACAUAUGCAGCGCUGACCGUGAAUCUCUGCUAAUACAGGAACGUUGCCUUUACAUUUCUAUCAGCUGGUUGAACAUCAGCCAUACGGAUUGAAUAGAGCCCUUAGAGUCGGGAGGACCUUUUGGGUGGGUUAUUACUAGAGCUCAGAGUUUAUCCCGGUUUAGGGUCAGGGCUCUAAACGUUCUACAGAACUGUUACAGACUUCUAAACUACCGGUACUGUCGACUCAGCAGAGAAAUGAAGAGCUCUUCUGUCACAAAGUAGAUGUUAAUAUUGGAGAUGAUAUUUGAUCAUGUUUUAUAACCUGUAGCAGUAGAGAUGGGGAUUUCCUGUUAAAGGUCAACUUUGGACACGAAAAAUAGUCCAAAUCCGCAUCUUUCCCAAUUUUUCAAACGUAAAUGGGGUGUGCCUUUGGUGUUACAUCAGGGUCAUUCUAGUCACAUGACCAACGCGCAGUUGAAGUAGGAAGUUUACAUACACCUCAGCCAAACACAUUUACACUCAGUUUUUCACAAUUCCUGACAUUUUAAUCCUAAUAAAAAUUCCCUGUCUUAGGUCAGUUAGGAUCACCACUUUAUUUUAAGAAUGUGAAAUGUCAGAAUAAUAGUAGAGAGAAUGAUUUAUUUCAGCUUUUAUUUCUUUCAUUACAUUCCCCGUGGGUCAGAAGUUUACAUACACUCAAUUAGUAUUUGGUAGCAUUGCCUUUAAAUUGUUUACCUUGGGUCAAACGUUUCGGGUAGCCUUCCACAAGCUUCCCACAAUAAGUUGGGUGAAUUUUGGCCCAUUCCUCCUGACAGAGCUGGUGUAACUGAGUCAGGUUUGUAGGCCUCCUUGCACGCACACACUUUUUCAGUUAUGCCCACAGAUUUUCUAUAGGAUUGAGGUCAGGGCUUUGUGAUGGACACUCCAAUACCUUGACUUUGUUGUCAUUAAGGCAUUUUGCAACAACUUUGGAAGUAUGCUUGGGGUCAUUGUCCAUUUGGAAGACCCAUUUGAGACCAAGCUUUAACUUCCUGACUGAUGUCUUGAGAUGUUGCUUCAAUAUAUCCACAUAAUUUUCCAGCCUCGUGAUGCCAUCUAUUUUGUGAAGUGCACCAGUCCCUCCUGCAGCAAAGCACCCCCCACAACAUGAUGCUGCCACCCCCGUGCUUCACGGUUGGGAUGGUGUUCUUCGGCUUGCAAGCCUCCCCCUUUUUCCACCAAACAUAACGAUGGUCAUUAUGGCCAAACAGUUCUAUUUUUGUUUCAUCAGACCAGAGGACAUUUCUCCAAAAAGUACGAUCUUUGUCCCCAUGUGCAGUUGCAAACCGUUGUCUGGCUUUUUUAAUGGCGGUUUUGGAGCAGUGGCUUCUUCCUUGCUGAGCGGCCUUUCAGGUUAUGUCGAAAUAGUACUCGUUUUACUGUGGAUAUAGAUACUUUUGUACCUGUUUCCUCCAGCAUCUUCACAAGGUCCUUUGCUGUUGUUCUGGGAUUGAUUUGCACUUUUCACACCAAAGUACGUACAUCUCUAGGAGACAGAACGCGUCUCCUUCCUGAGCGGUAUGACGGCUGCGUGGUCCCAUGGUGUUUAUACUUGCGUACUAUUGUUUGUACAGAUGAACGUGGUACCUUCAGGCGUUUGGAAAUUGCUCCCAAGGAUGAACCAGACUUGUGGAGGUCUAGAAUUUUUUUUCUGAGGUCUUGGCUGAUUUCUUUUGAUUUUCCCAUGAUGUCAAGCAAAGAGACACUGAGUUUGAAGGUAGGCCUUGAAAUACAUCCACAGGUACACCUCCAAUUGACUCAAAUGAUGUCAAUUAGCCUAUCAGAAGCUUCUAAAGCCAUGACAUCAUUUUCUGGAAUUUUCCAAGCUGUUUAAAGGCACAGUCAACUUAGUGUAUGUAAACUUCUGACCCACUGGAAUUGUGAUACAGGGAAUUAUAAGUGAAAUAAUCUCUCUGUAAACAAUUGUUGGAAAAAUUACUUGUGUCAUGCACAAAGUAGAUGUCCUAACCGACUUUCCAAAACUAUAGUUUGUUAACAAGAAAUUUGUGGAGUGGUUGAAAAACAAGUUUUAAUGACUCCAACCUAAGUGUAUGUAAACUUCGACUUCAACUGUAGCUCGUUCAUUAGCUAUGAAAGCCACUGUAGCUAGUUUGUUAGCUAAGAUAGCCACUGUAGCUAAUUCGUUAGCUAAGCUAGCCACUGUAGCUAAUUCGUUAGCUAAGCUAGCCACUGUAGCUAGUUCGUUAGCUAAGCCAUCCACUGUACUUAGUUUGUUAGCUAAGCCAGCCACUGUAGCUAGUUUGUUAGCUAAGCUAGCCACUGUAUCUAGUUCGUUAGCUAAGCUAGCCACUGUAGCUAGUUUGUUAGCUAAGCUAGCCACUAGAGCUAGUUCAUUAGCUAAGCCAUCCACUGUAGCUAGUUUGUUUGCUAAGCCAGCCACUAUAGCUAGUUUGUUAGCAAAGCUAGCCACUGUAGCUAGCCAGUAACUCCUCCAGUAUGUGUUGACAUCAUUUCACAGGAUUUGUUUUUGGAGAUCGGAAAGAAAUGGCACUUCUGUAGCCAAAUAUCUUAUUUAACCAUUUUAAGCAAUAAAUGACCAUGUAUGGUGGUGCAUUGAUCAGUUAUACUGUUUAAAAUACAUAAUUUUUGCGCUUUUGCCCAGAAUCGACCUUCAAAUGUAUUGGCAGAGAUGUCCAGCAGGGUAGACUGGAGGGGAUGGGAGGUGAGUUGGUAAUGAAAUACUAAACUUGAUGACAAAUAAAUACUUUUAAAGAAACGCACAAAUGGAAAAACAUCUCAAAUAACAGUUUAAUAAAGUUCCUUCAACAUGUCUGUUGAUAACAGCCCUGUUUCAUCCUAUGACAUUACAUACAUCCCCGUUUCAUCCUAUGAUGUUAUAUACAUCCUUUAAGUGAAAUAAAAGGCAAUGUUGAAUAACAUAAAGCAUUUGUGAUUGAUAUACAUUCUUGUCUGUAUGUAUCAGUGCAUUUGGAAAGUAUUCAGACCCCUUCACUUUUUCCA